AUGUUUAUCCUCUACCUCUGUAAUUGAGGAGUUCGGUAUCGUCCCAAAUGGUUGUAAACAUUUCGAUCUAGCUGCUCUUGUCGUCGAUUAUCGGUCACCGAUGAAGUAUUCGUAUUCGAUGCACAUCUAUUCAUCCAAGGACACUAAUUGGAGAAUCAUUCCGAUGGUCGAUCCGUACCCCGAGGUUAGGAAGGUUAUUGCAACCAGGUUGAUCACGAUCGCGGAAGGUGUGCUGGGAUGGGUCGAUCUCGAUCACGGCGUGAUGGUUUGCGACCUGCGUGAAGAUGUCCCCGGUUUACGCUACGUUCCUCUACCCGCGCCGCUGCCUCAGAACUGGUACAGAUUGAAGGAGUUUCUCCCAGGAACUUUUGCUAAGUCGUUUCGUGAUCUCGUGUGCGUCGACGGUGUGAUGAGCUUUGUCGAGAUGGAACACCGUGUGAUCGUAACAACUGAGAAGCCCAGUGAUCCCAGCAAAAUGCAGGUUCUUUACGACACUGACCUGAUAGUGUCAUAUAACCUCAAAGAUUUGGACAAGAAACCCCAGCAGCUGCAGAGAAAGGAUGGGUUAAGUCCAAAUCUUGCAGAGAAUUUAGCUUCUCCAACCCUAGGUGUGGAUGAUGGUGAUGUUGUGUACAUGAGAUAUAAUGCUAGCUUGGGUAAGGGGAAGAUAGUAGCUAUUGAUCUUAGAAGGAAGAAAGUGAAGGCAAUUGGACCAUAUUCCUUUGAAAAGCAUGCAUGA
This 739-nucleotide long non-coding RNA is filed under the name Oryza sativa Indica Group (long-grained rice). RNAcentral's name for it is "lncRNA OsMH63_08G023690". The record is from RNAcentral. Lineage: Eukaryota; Viridiplantae; Streptophyta; Magnoliopsida; Poales; Poaceae.